GUGCAGCAGUCGAGAAACUUCACACUGUGCGAAAGCACGAUGAGGGAAUCCCAAGUGCUUGCACGUAAGUGUAAGCUGUUUCUCUGUUUAAAACGCAGAGAGAGUAAGGGCUGGGUAAGACGGGUGCCAGCCGCCGCGGUAAUACCUGCAGCUCAAGUGGUGACCGUUAUUAUUGGGCCUAAAACGUCCGUAGCCGGUUUAAUAAAUGCCUGGGUAAAUCGUGUAGCUUAACUAUACGAAUUCCGGGUAGACUGUUAAACUCGAGACCGGGAGAAGUUAGAGGUACUCCUGGGGUAGAGGUGAAAUUCUGUAAUCCUAGGGGACCACCAGUGGCGAAGGCGUCUAACUAGAACGGGUCUGACGGUGAGGGACGAAGCCCUGGGGCGCAAACGGGAUUAGAUACCCCCGUAGU
This 412-nucleotide ribosomal RNA is filed under the name uncultured microorganism. RNAcentral's name for it is "bacterial SSU rRNA". It matches the Rfam family "Archaeal small subunit ribosomal RNA", at positions 330 to 745 of the family's 1478-position model. The record is from RNAcentral.